CUGACAACUUUGACAUCACAGCCACUCCCUGUCCACAGGUAACUUUCACUUUGUGAGCUCGUCGUGUCGCAGCUUCUUCUUCUGUCCAUGUGAAGCAGGUUGCUGUGUCUGUGUGAAGGUGUGGGCUCUGCUAUGGAUCAGUGUGAGGACAGAGAGGAGGGAGUCCCUCCCUCUAAAAGCACUCUGUGUGGGGAACAUGACACAAGGACCAAAGCUCAGAGGAUCCAUCAGAGACCAGACUGUCCUGAACCUGAACCCAGCUGUGUGUCCAUGAAGAGUGAUCGCUCUAUGGUUCUUCCUUUAAACUUCAAAGAAGACUCUGUUGAUCAAAGGAGGAAAAAACCUGAACCCAGCUGUGUGUCCAUGAAGAGUGAUCGCUCUAUGGGUCGUCUUAUAAACUUCAAAGAUGGCCGCCAUUCUGUUGAUCAAAGAGUGGACCAGGAGAGCUCAGAGGUUCCCAGUGGUCAGUCUGCCCAGCAGCAUCAAACACACCUGGACUCCAUAUUUAUGCUGCUGGAGGACAACAUUGUCACUUUUGUUAAGAACGAGCUGAAGAAGAUCCAGAAGGUUCUGAGUGCAGAUUACCCAGAAUGCUCAGAGAGUCAGAGGGAGGAUGAGGAGGUGUUGGAUGGUGAGGAUGAAGAGCAGAGGAGGAGAAGCAGAGAGGCAUUUCUAAAGAUCACAGUGCUCUUCCUGAGGAGAAUGAAGCAGGAGGAGCUGGCUGACCGUCUGCAGAGCAAAAAUUUUGAUGGAGUUUGUCAGCGUAAACUUAAAUACAAUCUGAAGAAGAAGUUCCAGUGUGUGUUUGAGGGGAUUGUUAAAGCAGGAAACCCAACCCUUCUGAACCAGAUCUACACAGAGCUCUACAUCACAGAGGGAGGGACUGCAGAGGUCAAUGAUGAACAUGAGGUCAGACAGAUCGAAACAGCAUCCAGGAAACCAGGCAGACCAGAAACAACAAUCAGACAAGAAGAUAUCUUUAAAGCCUCACCCGGAAGAGAUGAACCAAUCAGAACAGUGCUGACAAAGGGAGUAGCUGGCAUUGGGAAAACAGUCUUAACACAGAAGUUCACUCUGGACUGGGCUGAAGACAAAGCCAACCAGGACAUACAGUUCACAUUUCCAUUCACUUUCAGAGAGCUGAAUGUGCUGAAAAAGAAAAAGUACAGCUUGGUGGAACUUGUUCAUCACUUCUUUACUGAAACCAAAGAAGCAGGAAUCUGCAGGUUUGAAGAGUUCCAGGUUGUGUUCAUCUUUGACGGUCUGGAUGAGUGUCGACUUCCUCUGGACUUCCUCAACACUAAGAUCCUGACUGAUGUUACAGAGUCCACCUCAGUGGAUGUGCUGCUGACAAACCUCAUCAGGGGGAACCUGCUUCCCUCUGCUCGCCUCUGGAUAACUACACGACCUGCAGCAGCCAAUCAGAUCCCUCCUGAGUGUGUUGACAUGAUGACAGAGGUCAGAGGGUUCACUGACCCACAGAAGGAGGACUACUUCAAGAAGAGGUUCAGAGAUGAGGAGCAGGCCAGCAGAAUCAUCUCCCACAUAAAAACAUCACGAAGCGUCCACAUCAUGUGCCACAUCCCAGUCUUCUGCUGGAUCACUGCUACAGUUCUGGAGGAUGUGUUGAAGACCAGAGAGGGAGGAAAGCUGCCCAAGACCCUGACUGAGAUGUACAUCCACUUCCUGGUGGUUCAGUGCAAACUGAAGACCGUCAAGUAUGAUGGAGGAGCUGAGACAGAUCCACACUGGAGUCCAGGGAGCAGGAAGAUGAUUGAGUCUCUGGGAAAACUGGCCUUUGAGCAGCUGCAGAAAGGCAACCUGAUCUUCUAUGAAUCAGACCUGACAGAGUGUGGCAUCGAUAUCAGAGCAGCCUCAGUGUACUCAGGAGUGUUCACACAGAUCUUUAAAGAGGAGAGUGGAAUGUACCAGGACAAGGUCUUCUGCUUCGUCCAUCUGAGUGUUCAGGAGUUUCUGGCUGCUCUUCAUGUCCAUCUGACAUUCAUCAUCUCUGGAGUCAAUCUGCUGGCAGGAGAACAAACAACAUCCUGGUGGUCUAAAUUAAUGAAAGGGAAUCUAAAAUAUCUCCACCAGAGUGCUGUGGACAAGGCCUUACAGAGUCCAAAUGGACACCUGGACUUGUUCCUCCGCUUCCUCCUGGGUCUUUCACUGCAGACCAAUCAGAAUCUCCUACGAGGUCUGCUGACACAGACAGGAAGUAGCUCACAGACCAAUCAGCAAACAGUCCAGUACAUCAAGAAGAAGAUCAGUAAGAAUCUCUCUGCAGAGAGAAGCAUCAAUCUGUUCCACUGUCUGAAUGAACUGAAUGAUCGUUCUCUAGUGGAUCAGAUCCAACAGUCCCUGAGUUCAGGAAGUCGCUCCACAGAUAAACUGUCUCCUGCUCAGUGGUCAGCUCUGGUCUUCAUCUUACUGUCAUCAGAAAAAGAUCUGGACGUGUUUGACCUGAAGAAAUACUCUGCUUCAGAGGAGGCUCUUCUGAGGCUGCUGCCAGUGGUCAAAGCCUCCAACAAAGCUCUACUGAGUGACUGUAACCUCUCAGAGAGAAGCUGUGAAGCUCUGUCCGCAGUUCUCAGCUCCCAGUCCUCUAGUCUGAGAGAGCUGGACCUGAGUGACAACAACCUGCAGGAUUCAGGACUGAAGCUUCUUUCUGUUGGACUGAAGAGUCCACACUGUAAACUGGAAACUCUUAGGCUGUCAGGCUGUCUGAUCACAGAGGAAGGUUGUGCUUCUCUGGUCUCAGCUCUGAGCUCCAACCCCUCCCAUCUGAGAGAGCUGGACCUGAGCUACAAUCAUCCAGGAGACUCUGCAACAAAGCUGUCUGCUGGACUGGAGGAUCCACACUGGAGACUGGACACUCUCAGGGUGGAGCCUGCUGGAGUCCGAUGGUUGAGACCAGGUCUGAGGAAGUAUUCCUGUGAACUCACAGUCGACACAAACACAGUGAACAGAAAGAUCAAACUGUCUGACAACAACAGGAAGAUGACAUCAGUGAAGAAGGAUCAGCCAUAUCCUGAUCAUCCAGACAGAUUUGACUGCUGGUCUCAGCUGCUUUGUAGAAAUGGUCUGACUGGUCGCUGUUACUGGGAGGUCGAGUGGAGAGGAAGAGUUUAUAUAUCAGUGAGUUACAGAGGAAUCAGCAGGAGAGGAAACAGUAAAGACUGUGUGUUUGGAAGGACUGAUCAGUCCUGGAGACUGGAGUACUCUGAUGGUCGUUACUCUGUCCGUCACAACAACAUAAGAACACCCAUCUCCUCCUCCUCCUCCUCCUCCUCCUCCUCCUCCUCUGGUAGAGUAGCAGUGUAUGUGGACUGUCCUGCUGGCACUCUGUCCUUCUACACAGUCUCCUCUGACACACUGAUCCACCUCCACACCUUCAACACCACAUUCACUGAACCUCUUCAUCCUGGGUUUAGGUUCGGGUCUUACAGUUCCUCAGUGUCUCUGUGUCCUCUGUAGGAGGGAGAGAGAAACUUUCUCACUGCUGACCAGAUAGUUCAGUCUGUACAGGAUCACACACAGCUGAUGUUAGUUAGUACCAACCUGAUGUGUUUACUGUAAUAGAGGAGGAAGAGGAGGCUGAAGGAAGAGAAGAGCAAAGGAUGCUGGGAUGAAGGGAUCAUGUGUGAGGGUAAUGAGCAGCCUGCAGACGUAGAGAUGAAAGAAAUGAUAGAAAGAACUGAUCUUCUUCUAUAACUCUGAGAAAAAUGAACAUUUUUAGGAUCAAAUGUGGCUGCUUGUUUUUCAAAUCUUCUUCUUUUUGAAAGCACAGUUAGAGGGAAAGUGUUUUUAUGACUCAAAUAUUAAAGUGUGAACAAAUAUUCAACUUUGAGUCUAAAACUGAACUUUGUUGCCUUAAAACUUUUGUUUCUGUGAAGAAACAAUGUGUUCAAAUGUCAAACAAGAGUCUUUCAGGAUCAAAUUCAGCAUCUGUGUAAAAAUAGUUCCAAGGAGUAAAGAGUGGCUUUGAUUUGAACUAAAUUCAUCAUCUUUGGUCAUCGUGGAACAAAUGUACAAACUUUGAUAAGUCAGGUUGAAAUCAAAAGAAAUCAAAGUUUUGGGUUGAUUCCAGAUAAUAAAUGAUGCUGGAAACCACAUCUAAAUGAUGUCAAAGCAAAACUGUCCAAAUGGAUCCAACACUGUAUAAAAUGAAGGAUUAGUUAAAUCGUUUGGGGAAACUCAUAUAAAACAAACACUAAUCAGAUUUUUACAUUUGAACAGAGAGACAUAAGAAGUGUAAACCAAACUACUGAUCAAGAACCAACUCAGCUGUUUGUUCAAUGAACAGAACAGAUCAGGUAUAAAGUCAGAAACUAAUGACGAGCUGAAAGAGUCCAAAAGUUGUUUGAAAUGACAGAAAGUCCAAAUGAUUUGAGAGGAAUCUGCAGCUUUAAGGACUGAUGUCAGAAAUCCCUUGUGUUAAAGAGGUGAACUUGUGGAGCAGCUGUAGUGAGGAAAUCAAUCAUUCCAUAAAGAAUCAUUCAACAAAUAUAGAAGUGAUCAAACUGACAUGUUGGCAUUAAUUCAAUUCAACUCUAUUCUAUUCUAUUUGUAUAGGGCCAAUUCAUUAUGACAACUCCCUCAUUUCAUUUUUUGUACGUCUGGAUAAGAUCUACGCAUGUGCCGAUUUCUAUGCAUAUCAGUGAAAGGGGACCUGGGUGGCACAGUUUAUGGGCCCCUGAGAGGGGCCAAUUUGUCAUGCUCAUGUGCAUUUCAUGAGUUUUCGAGCACGGGAAAGCCUCCAAAAAUGCGUUUGUUUGACAAAAAUUAUUUUUCCUGCCAAUUACAAUAGUGCCAUCGCACGGUCAGUGCUCGGGCCCUAACUACUAAAGGUUUGUUUCACCAACUUCCGGCCCUCGCUAUGAUUGACAGGAGGUUUUGGGGUGCUUUUGGCGAGCAGGGAGAGGUGUACGUGACACAGAGAGAGAGAGAGACGACCUCUGAGCCUCAAUGUGGAACUUGAAGUAGACGCUCCGUGUAAUAACUUUGAGCUUCAUAAGAGUUGAGAAGCAGUAAGAAGUGAUAACGAUUACUGAGGAUGAGCAGUUGCCAGCUGAAAGUGAAACGGGUUUCCUUCUCAGCUUCUCACUUUGUUUGCUGCUCGUGUGUUAGCUACUAAGUUAAUUCCAUUUUGUACAGACAAUUCUAGUAUUUUCUGUGGUUCAUGUUAAAUGCGUAAAGGGAAACAUUUUGAUGGUUAAAGUGUAAAUUUCAUAGUAAUAUUCACCAUGUUAAAAUAAAAGAACCAUGAAUUUC
Molecule: RNA transcript, 5274 nt
Organism: Dicentrarchus labrax (European seabass)
Lineage: Eukaryota; Metazoa; Chordata; Actinopteri; Moronidae
Gene name: NACHT, LRR and PYD domains-containing protein 12-like
Exons: 12
Source: RefSeq, a predicted model, not a curated record